RNAcentral lists this ribosomal RNA (253 nucleotides) under uncultured bacterium. RNAcentral describes it as "partial 16S ribosomal RNA". It matches the Rfam family "Bacterial small subunit ribosomal RNA", at positions 524 to 776 of the family's 1533-position model. The record is from RNAcentral.
UACAGAGGUGGCAAGCGUUGUUCGGAAUUACUGGGCGUAAAGGGCGCGUAGGCGGCCUUCUAAGUCAGACGUGAAAUCCCCCGGCUUAACCUGGGAACUGCGUCUGAUACUGGGAGGCUUGAGUAUGGGAGAGGGAUGUAGAAUUCCAGGUGUAGCGGUGAAAUGCGUAGAUAUCUGGAGGAACACCGGUGGCGAAGGCGGCAUCCUGGACCAACACUGACGCUGAGGAGCGAAAGCCAGGGGAGCAAACGGG